ACAAAGAUAGCUUAAAAAAAAAGCAAAGCACUGAAAAUGCUAACAUAAAGGUUUAAAUCCUUUUCUUAGUA
This 71-nucleotide transfer RNA is filed under the name Freyastera benthophila. RNAcentral's name for it is "tRNA-Phe". It matches the Rfam family "tRNA". Rfam says of the family: Transfer RNA (tRNA) molecules are approximately 80 nucleotides in length. Lineage: Eukaryota; Metazoa; Echinodermata; Asteroidea; Brisingida; Brisingidae. The record is from RNAcentral.